AGAACCUCCUGUUCAUAAGCAAAUGCAGCUGGGCAAACAGAGAGCCCAGCUGCUUAAUGCAAACAGCGCCUCUCUGGAGUGCUGGAGGAGCAACGGAGGGGCAGGACUGUAUAUUCUUCUGCUCCUUGGUAACUGCAGGAGGCUGGAGAAUUCAGCAUGGGACUGUAGUGUAUCACAUCAUGUUUUAGGAUGCAACUAGAAGAGCUAACUACAAGAAUCACCUCUAUAGUUAAGCUGGACUUGUGAUAUGGAAGGAUAAAAUGAAUCGCCAGCUAAUAUUGGGAGAAUUAAUC
Long non-coding RNA from Hemicordylus capensis (graceful crag lizard), 293 nucleotides. RefSeq lists it as uncharacterized. The record is from RefSeq and is a predicted model, not a curated record. The transcript has 5 exons. NCBI's taxonomy places the organism in Eukaryota, Metazoa, Chordata, Lepidosauria, Squamata, Cordylidae.